Molecule: long non-coding RNA, 2394 nt
Organism: Triticum dicoccoides
Lineage: Eukaryota; Viridiplantae; Streptophyta; Magnoliopsida; Poales; Poaceae
Exons: 2
Source: RefSeq, a predicted model, not a curated record
CCCCUCCUCUUCCCUUCCACGCACCGACCAGUCGCCGUAGGUAGCACGCUCCCCCCUCCUCCCCACAAAGUCCACCGCCCUCCAUGCCGAGCAACCGAAUCGGGAUCGAUCGUCUCCUCCCCUCCCCGUCGCCGCCGCCUCGGGCUCGCUUGGUGCAGAUCGGGACCCUCCGCCCGCCCCGACGGGCCGGAUCCCGCCUUGCACCAAGUGAAUCGGAGCCGGCGCAGCGACCUCGCCCCCGCCGCCGCUUUUGCUGCCUCUCCGCGCCCCGAAUUGGUUGAUGCUCUGCCGCCGUCGGUCUCGACUGGUUCGAUCGGUCCGAGGCUGCUACUCGCUGCGGAUUUUUAUGUGCGAUUCCGUAUGUUCGCUCGUGCCCGUGGCGCUCUGAUAUUUGCCCUGUUUAAGAAAUUCGCUAGAUCUAGAUCCGGCGCCUAGCUUUAAUUGUUGCCUGCUUGAUCUGACGGAUUUUUUGUUGCCAAGCAAGAUCUAAUCCUUCUUUUUUUGGUCAGGAUUCUUGCCAGGCUAUGGUGCAAAUUGCGCCCCCAAAUUGUGUUGCAGGGGAGGCCGUGGGACGCUACGAGAUGGUUCGAAUUAGCUAGUCGUGACGCGAAUUUCGAUUUGGAUCGUGUGGCAGGUCUUGUGUAUGGUACUAGUAGAUUCAGUAUUUGGCCUGAUUGAACUGUGGAGAACAUUUAUUGAUGUAGAUAGAUGCUGGUAGUAUAUCGUUUUACUACUUGUAGUAGGGGCGUAUCUCUGGCUAGCACCUCUGUACUCUGCAGGAUGCUGGGAAUUGCGGUGGACUUGUUUCGGGAGGAGACACAGGCUGCAUGUGUCUCCAUAUGCUUUAUUUAGCACGUUUGCUGUACUCUGCUGUGAAUUGUCUUCAGGGCGGAUGCUAACUCCAGGGAAUUGAAACCUGCAACGUGUUGCCUUGUUCUGUUCCAUCUCGAGAAUUUCAGCCUUUCGAUUCAUGACCUGUGGUUUGAGCUUUGAUUUGUCAAAAGCUUAAACCUUAUUCAGCAAUUAUGAAGUGGAUAGGCACAAGCAGGGGCGGAGCUCUGUAGGGGCUAAACCGGGCCAUGGCCCGCCCAGGAUUUUGACCCAAAUUUUUUUAUAUAGGCAUCUCCCAAGCCCACUAGCCCAGCCCACUUGCAUCCUCUCGCUUUCACGCACAGAGCAGCCUUGCUCAAAAAAAAAACGCACAGAGCAGCCGGAGAGAGGCAGGCAGCGCUAGGAAUCCCUACUCCCUAAUUCCCAAACUGUCCCACAGUCGAGCAGGGAGCACAGGAGCAAGCCGCUGCCGUCGGCGAACCGACAGCGUCUAUCCUCUCUCGCCGGAAUCCCUGUAUCUCACAGCCACGGUUCAGCCCCUUGCUUUCCUCCCUUCCCCCGACUCUCUGCACCUGCUCACAGAUGACAUCUGCUUGGGCUCGGCCACGCCGUCGUGCUACUGGCCUGCGGCCUGCCGAACCACUUCUGGCGGCUGGCGCAUGAGCAGAUCACUGGAUGAGCUCUCCUAGUCUCCAGUCUCCUACUGUCCUCCAAGAAUAGAGCAACUGUCAGAAGCAAGAGGUAAUCAUGGGCAAGGAAAAUCAAUCUCAGAGAAGAAUUGAUUUGGUUUUUAAAAGGAAAAGAGAUGACAUAACUCGAGUUCAGGAAAACCAGAUAUUGCCGUUGCUUGAAUUGGAACAACAUAACCAAAACCAGUACGAAUAGGUUCGAGCAAAUGAAGCUGUUACAUUCGAAGGUAUUGAGUUCUUGCAGCGUGCAGCGAGACCCUGGAAGAUGAGAAUCUUGCCAAUAAUCUGUUAGUUCACAUAGAGGGUGGAAUUCUAGAGAACUACAGCCACGAAGAUGUCAUUGCAGAUUUUAGAAGCAAGGGUGACCGGAGAGUCGAUUUGUAGUAUGUGAGUAAGUCACAUGUCUAAUGUCUCAAAGCUUUUGUAUUAGCUAACUUAAUAGUGGUUCAGGGUUAAAAUGUAUUUUGUUGUAUAUAUACAUACUGCUUGCUCCAUCCGGUAAUCAUACUGAUGCUUAUGAUUCAGAAUUUCAAAAAAAAUUGUGCUCUUGUUUAGUCUGGCCCACCCAGCAUUUUCUUUCAAGCUCCGCCACUGGGCACAAGUAUCAAAGUUUACAUAGGGGUAGUGGUGUAGGGGGCUAUUUUUUGAAUGGUUUUUUUUUAACUACUACAUAGGGGGUGUAGCGUGCUAAUCUCGAUCCCAUCUGUGAAUCUUGAUAGAUGUAAGGUUUCCAAUUUUAUUUUAUUUUGAAAGUGUGCCAAAUUUGUACUUGUUUCCGUUGCUUCCUGGAUGUUUCACUAGUUCUGCUGUACCAUGUGCUCAUUGGUUGUAUCAGAAUGAAGCAAUAGCAAAAGAGAAAAGUGCAUUUCUAACA